CACAAACUAUUUUAUGUUCUACUCGAGAUGUCAUCUAUGCAUAGACCUAGCUCAUGAUGCCACUGUUGGGAAUUGUCGCAUGGGAAACAAAAAAAUUCCUUCACGUGCACAAGAUCUAUCCAUGGUGAUGACCAUCUAUGUGAGUGGAGAGUGCAUCUACAUACCUUGUAGAUUGCUAAGCGGAAGCGUAUAUAACGCGAUUGAUGUAGUGAACAUCUUCGCGAUCCAAAUCGCAGCCCGUCCCGCGAUCUCAUGACGAUCCUUCCCGAUCAAGCGUCGAACGGACGACACCUCCGUGUUCAGCAC
Molecule: long non-coding RNA, 306 nt
Filed under: Hordeum vulgare
Lineage: Eukaryota; Viridiplantae; Streptophyta; Magnoliopsida; Poales; Poaceae
Description: long non-coding RNA (HVUL_LNC016688)
Source: RNAcentral